AGGCAGAUGACUUCCCUAACUUAUUUUGCAAUGGGAAAGGAAGCAUGCUCAAUCUUCUUCCAUAUUCGAUUCACAUUUUGUCAUUAUACUAUUCAGUAACUAAAACAGCUACAACUAUCAUGGUGCUCCAGAAACUCCGGGGAAUAGUUCCGAUAUCUUAUUGAAAACGUCCAUGACCUCUUUGUCAUUUUGAUACUUUGUUAUACUCAGUGGAUUUU
This 218-nucleotide unclassified non-coding RNA is filed under the name Hevea brasiliensis (rubber tree). The record is from RNAcentral. Lineage: Eukaryota; Viridiplantae; Streptophyta; Magnoliopsida; Malpighiales; Euphorbiaceae.